Ictalurus punctatus (channel catfish) is the source of this 2136-nucleotide long non-coding RNA. The record is from Ensembl. Lineage: Eukaryota; Metazoa; Chordata; Actinopteri; Siluriformes; Ictaluridae.
GUUGACAGUGAUAGCGGUGAUGAUGGUGUUGGUGUUGACAGUGAUAGCGGUGAUGAUGGUGAUGGUGUUGACAGUGAUAGUGGUGAUGGUGUUGACAGUGAUAGCGGUGAUGAUGGUGUUGGUGGUGACAGUGAUAGUGGUGAUGGUGUUGACAGUGAUAGCGGUGAUGAUGGUGAUGGUGUUGACAGUGAUAGUGGUGAUGGUGUUGACAGUGAUAGCGGUGAUGAUGGUGUUGGUGGUGACAGUGAUAGUGGUGAUGGUGUUGACAGUGAUAGCGGUGAUGAUGGUGUUGGUGUUGACAGUGAUAGCGGUGAUGAUGGUGUUGGUGGUGUUGACAGUGAUAGUGGUGAUGGUGUUGACAGUGAUAGCGGUGAUGAUGGUGUUGGUGUUGACAGUGAUAGCGGUGAUGAUAGUGUUGACAGUGAUAGUGUUGACAGUGAUAGCGGUGAUGAUAGUGUUGACAGUGAUAGCGGUGAUGAUAGUGUUGAUGAUGUCGGUGUUGAUGACAGACAGCGAUAGUGCUGAUGGUGUUGACAGUGAUAGCGGUGAUGAUGGUGUUGGUGUUGACAGUGAUAGUGGUGAUGGUGUUGACCGUGAUUGCGGUGAUGAUGGUGUUGGUAGUGCUGGCGGUGCUGAUAGUGAUGGCAGUGAUGAUGUUGACAGACAGUGAUAGCGGUGAUGAUAGUGUUGAUGGUGUUUGUGUCGAUAGUGCUGGCAGUGCUGAUCUUGGUGUUGAUAGUGCUGGCGGUGCUGCUAGUAUUGGUGAUAUUAAUACUGGCUAAUAGUUUCUAGUAUUGGAUGUUGCUAGGAAUUGGUGAUGUUGCUAGGAAUUGGCGAUAGUAUUGGCGAUGCUAGGAAUUGGCGAUGGUAUUGGCGAUGUUGCUAGGAAUUGGCGAUGUUGCUAGUAUUGGUAGCGUUAGUGAUGUUUGUAAUAUUAGAAAUGCCGCUCGUGUGUGGACAAUGUUCCUAGUGUUAGUGACCAUGUUAUUGUUGGCAAUGUGCCUAGUAUUGGGUGUUGCUAACAUCGGUGAUAUUGCUAGUGUUUGCGAAGUUGCUAAAACAAACAAACUGCAAAAGCUUGAAGAAAUUGGUCCACUUCUCGUUUAAAGACGCGUCUCCUGCGGAGCAGAAAUGGAAAACUCGAAAAGCCCUUACCCCAGUGUAACCAGACAGACCAGUGGAGCUCGACUGGCUUUUUUUUUUUUUUUUUUUUUUAAUAAACUGUGCCACUCAGGUCUUGUUGUGAUACAUUUGAGGUGGUCAAUGCAUGAACACAGCAGAAAAGAUUAGAAUGGAUUUUUAACUAAAACCGUUGAUGGGCUUUCGACCCUGGACUCUCACCUUCAUUUACUCUGCGCUAAUUUGAUACGCAAACACUGUUUACUGUUCAGGAAGAGCAUCUUUCUAGGCACAAAGCCGGUGAAGUGGAAGUGUGUGAGACGCAAACUAGUUACAAUGGCAAAAAGUUAGUGAGAGAAACACAUACAGACACAGAGGAGGGGGGAGAGAGAGAGAGUGAGAGAGAGAGAGGGGGGUUAGGUCUUACGAGCACAGGUUGGAAAGCUGUUAUUAAUCUGCUCCAUAAGGUCAGUCAUAUCAGAGGAGGAAGAAUGAUCCAGAAAGUCAUCUGAGAACACACACACACACACACGCACACACACACUAUAUGAAAGAGCUGUCAGGUCCACACACCAACAUUAUUGAACCGUGUUGCUCAUUUCCAGCACAAAAGGUUCUCAAAAGGUUCUGGUCUGAAAUGAAAAAGUGAUGUUCGGUUUUGGGAUGGUGCCAUUUUAUCGCCAUGGCAACAUUAGAAACUCAACCUAUCGUUGUUAAAAUAAGGAGGAAACAAUAUGUGUACAGAGGCGGAUGAGAAUUAUUGUAAAAGUUUGUUUUGUUUUGUUUUUUUUAAAUUCAGUGAAACCUUAGGAAAUCCAAUUUCAUAAUGGUUAAGAUCUCAAAGCGGUGGAAAUGUGGGACGUUUUCUUUUUUUCUUAAAACCAUCACAUGUUGGAAGGAAAGCAGGAGCAGCACCAUGUUGAUGGGAAGAAGAAGAAGAAGAAAAAAAAAAUCUUGCACUCAACCAAACAGACGUAAACAGAUCAAGUGUAGAGUGGGAGAUGCAUUCUGAGGAAC